RNAcentral lists this ribosomal RNA (252 nucleotides) under uncultured bacterium. RNAcentral describes it as "partial 16S ribosomal RNA". It matches the Rfam family "Bacterial small subunit ribosomal RNA", at positions 524 to 776 of the family's 1533-position model. The record is from RNAcentral.
UACGGAGGGUGCGAGCGUUGUCCGGAAUCACUGGGCGUAAAGGGCGCGUAGGUGGCGCGGGCAGUCAACGGUGAAAGUUCGGGGCUCAACCCUGAAUCGGCCGUCGAUACUCCCGGGCUUGAGCACUGUAGAGGCAGAUGGAAUCCGGGUGUAGCGGUGGAAUGCGUAGAGAUCCGGAAGAACACCGGUGGCGAAGGCGGUCUGCUGGGCAGUAGCUGACACUGAGGCGCGACAGCGUGGGGAGCAAACAGG